AUUGAACGCUGGCGGCAGGCCUAACACAUGCAAGUCGAGCGAGCGGCGGACGGGUGAGUAAUGUAUGGUGACUGCCAGAUAGAGGGGGCUAACUACUGGAAACGGUAGCUAAUACCGCAUACUAUCGGAUAACCCAUAUGGGAUUGGCUAGUAGGUGAGGUAAUGGCUCACCUAGGCGACGAUACCUAGCUGGUCUGAGAGGAUGAUCAUCCACACUGGGACUGAGACACGGCCCAGACGCCUACGGAGGCAGCAGUGGGGAAUAUUGGACAAUGGGCGAAAGCCUGAUGCAGCCAUGCCGCGUGUAUGAAGAAGGCCCUAGGGUUGUAAAGUACUUUCAGUCGGGAGGCGUUACCGACAGAAGAAGCACCGGCUAACUCCGUGCCAGCCGCCGCGGUAAUAC
RNAcentral lists this ribosomal RNA (403 nucleotides) under uncultured bacterium. Its description in RNAcentral is "partial 16S ribosomal RNA". It matches the Rfam family "Bacterial small subunit ribosomal RNA", at positions 30 to 526 of the family's 1533-position model. The record is from RNAcentral.